Molecule: long non-coding RNA, 21281 nt
Filed under: Vitis vinifera (wine grape)
Lineage: Eukaryota; Viridiplantae; Streptophyta; Magnoliopsida; Vitales; Vitaceae
Description: long non-coding RNA (VVIN_LNC003720)
Source: RNAcentral
UUGGAAAUCCACAGAUUGCCGGCCUGACCCUCCUGCAUUUCUUGGGUGCGCACCCUCAGGCGGGCCUGCUGCACUUAUCCAACAGAAGAGAUGGGCCACUGGCCUCCUUGAGGUGCUGUUCAGCAAGAACAGCCCAUUCAUUAUCACCUUCACUGCAAAGCUCCAAUUUCGCCAAUGCCUUGCAUACAUGUGGAUUCUUUCAUGGGGUUUAAGGCCAAUUCCGGAGCUUUAUUAUCUUGCUUUGCCAGCAUAUUGCAUCAUGGCCGGCUCACAUUUCUUGCCCAAUGUGAGCAAAACUAAAACCAUUCAGUUUUCCUCUUAAAUUCAUACAUAGCAUUAGUAGUACUACUUCACCAACCUUUGUUUUAUUAUCAUUGACGCAGGUCCAAGACCCAGCUGUGUUGAUACCGAUAUCCCUCUUUGUCAGUUACAAUUUUCACACUCUAUUGGAAUACUGGGGGGCUGGAUAUUCAAUCCGAGCAUGCUGGAACAACUUGAGGAUGUGGAGAAUAACCGCAGUGACCGCAUGGUUAUUUGGAUUUUUAAGCGUCAUUCUGAAGCUCCUGGGGUUAUCGGAGACCGUCUUUGAAGUUACAAAAAAAGACCAAUCCACUACUCCUGGGGAGGGCAGUGACAAGGAUGCUGGUCGGUUCACCUUUGAUGGGUCUCUGAUUUUUGUUCCGGCCACUACUCUUCUGUUGGUGCACCUGAUGGCACUUGUAACAGCCUUGUUAGGACUAUUUGAUCAUGUCGAGAUUGAAUCAAGAAUAGGGGAGAUAAUAUGUAGUGUGUGGGUGGUGCUAUGCUUCUCGCCGUUUCUUAAAGGCUUGUUUGGGAAAGGAAAAUAUGGGAUACCCAAAUCCACUAUAUGCAAGUCAGCAGCUUUGGCGUUUCUUUUUUUUGCUUGCACUAUUACAGUAAGAAAAUGACAUUAGUAAAAACUAAAAACCGUAACAAUUUAUUAAGCAUAAUUGUUAGUCAAGUGUGUUAUGACAUGUAUUAUCCGGUUCAAUGUACGAACAAAUUAAUUUAUGCAAUUUUAAUGGCAGUUUGCUUUUCACCAUUGCCGUAGCGGCAGUACCUCCAUGAAUUGAAAUGAAGUAAUGAUCACAACCAUGAGUUUAAAGUACUAAUGAUUAGUGGAAAAAAGAUGAGACAAAAGAAAAUUAUCAUAUAUUCUCUUCAUUCUCCACUCAUUAAUAUAUAUGAAUAGGAAAGAUCUCAUGUUCCCUACAUAAGAAAAAAAAAAAAAGGAUUAAUUUCAAGAAUAUAUUGAUUAAACCGAGGAAAAUAAAACACAUAAAAUAGAAAAUUAAGUGAUUUAAAUUCAAAAGAUCAAGUCAAAAUAGAAAACAAUCUUAGAAAAGUAAAGUUGCUUGUUGAAAAUUAGGUUAUCUUUCUUGAUUAAUUUGCUUAGUUUUUGGAGGUAUGCUACUAGGACUCUUUCCUUUCUUCGUCUUAAUAUGAGACCUAUUACCUUUCUUAAUAUCCAAAAUUUGAUUUUAAGGUAAUUUGACCUACUCAUUAGAUUAUUAACAUGUGACUGAAUUUUUCAAAGAGCCUACUACUACAACACUUACUAGCAUUAUGUCUUGACCUCUUACAUGUAGUGCACUUAGGGUCUUGCUUAGAGUUAGAUUUCCCAUAAGAGGAACAACCUACCUAUGUUUUUAUAAAAGUAGUAUUUUCACUUGUGGGAGUUUCACAUAUAAUUAUAUAUCAUAAACCUCUCUUGCCUAUAAACAUUCCCAUUUUGAAUCAUUUCAUUAAAAUUUUAGGGUGAGGAUAAAAAAAUUUAUCAUGUCAACUUUCGAAGAUCUUUUUCCUAUGGUCUAACUUUGAGGUUAAGGAUUUAUUCUUUUCAAGUACAAUGUGAUAUUCAAAAUAAGGAACCUAAUUUUUCCUUAGCAAAUUGUAAUGUUCACAAGUUGUGUCCCUAAUCUUAUUACCCAAAUUAGUUUUUUUAAGACUCAUAGGAACUUAAUUUUUCAUUCAAUUCAUUUUUCUCAUAUUCAAGAUAUUUAAUGUGAGAAAUCUUUUUGUUUAAAAUAAUUUUAAGCUUAACUAUAACACCUUAAACCCGGAGGCCAAGGGCCCUACAGUCAUUCCUUAUCAAAUUGAAACCAAAACUAAAAUAAAAUAUCUAGCCAUAAAUUCAAUAAUUUUCUUGAACACUUAAAUCAAAAUUCUAAAAAUUAAUAAUGAAUUCAAUCUUAAGUAAACAAUCCCAUAAAAAAAUUGAAAAGAAAAAAAUCAAUUCCAAAGUAGUUUAUAAUAGAAGCAUGUUUCCUAUCUUGAUUUUUCUUCUUUGAUGUCACUUGUACUUGAAAAGGGGAAUAAUAGAAAAGGGUGAACUUGAAAGCUCAGUAUAAAAAAUAAUUUAAUAAGAAUGAUUAAUAUAGUAUAAAAUUAAACACUGAGAGAUAUCAUUUUUUUUUUUUACGAAAAUCAAUUAGUGAGUAAUCUCUUUUAAUUCAAUAGUUUAGUUCACUUUCUUUGAAAAAUUUAACACUUUCUAUUGAAAGAUUAAACAACAUAAUGCACUUUGCAUAAUAAUUCAUAUAAAAAAGAAUUUCACAAAGAAACAUUUUACUCUAAUCCACUCACAAUAAUACCAUGCCCAAAUAGUUGAAUUUGUAUUAGGUGGCUAGCCUCAAAAUGUUAUUAGUGAAUGGAACGGAUUCCAAUCCAUAAUAUACCGAAGGCCAAUAACACCCCUAUUAGCUAGGGUUGUGUUGUAUUGUUACCCUCACUAAGGGUAAUAAAGGUCAACAACUUAUCCCCUAUUGACUAGAGCCACUUAGAGUUUCUAAAAUCAUUUUAAUUAAUUAGAAAAAAGUAAAAUUCACUUACAUAAUAAUCAAACAAAUCACAUGAUGUUACUAAUUUAUUUUAUGAACAAAACACAACAUAUUUCAAAAAAAUAUUACCUAAUCCACUUUACGAAAUUUAAACAAUUUUGAUACUUUACUAAAUAGAGGAAGACAAAUAAAAAGGUAGAAAAUAACUCACUACACUAUUAACCCUUACCUUGAAGAAGCCACUUAAAUUCUUGAAAAAAUUAAUCCACACCUUUAAAUUAUAGAACGAAGCAAUAUGAAGCAAAUACUAAAACUUCUUCUUUCUAACUCUUCGAAUCAAAGUUCUCCGGAGACUUUUUUUUCUUCUUUAUUUUGUGUUUUCAAUUUUUUGAUAAUAUGAAUAAUUCAUAACAAAAUAAAGUUGGUAGGAAAUUAAAGGGAGCAAAAAUAUCUCACUUAAUUUGUUUUUCAAUGUUUGAAAAUAUAUAAAUAUCCCUAAAUAAGGUAAAUCUUUUUAAAUAUUUAAGUUACACAAAUAUCCCUAAAUUCUCCUUCCUAAUCACUAGAUUCAAUAGAACUAAUUUUAGUACCUGAGGAUGGUGAAACAGUGAAGGCAAUAAGGUUAUCAUUGUCUUUUUUUGUUGAUCUUCAUGUAAUGAUUCCUAGUGAAGAAAUUAAAGAAAAACGAAAAAAAACACACACAGAUUUAAUGUGGUUAAGUAGAUUGCCUACGUCCAUAGGAACAAAGAAAAAGACUUUCACUAUAUUUCAAUUAAUGUUACAUAAAAGGGUAUUUAUACUAACCCUCGGGUAUUGAAAUUCCAAAAAUACCCUUGAACCAUACCACGGGGAGGCAUUGUCCCCCAUACCCCCCCAACCUAUCGUUCGCCCUUAACAAUAAAAAUAUAAAAUUAAAUGGCAAAUGUCAUCGUUCCACUUCGACAUUUGCCCAUUUUUCUCCAUAUGUCUUUUACUCAAUAUGAGCCGCAUACUACAACAUCAUUGUCAAUUGAGCCUAUCAACUUAUUAAUGUCAUUAGACUCAGAAUUGCCCCAAGUCACUGUUGUUAUUUAUUUAUUUAUUUUUUCAAUUAUCAUUAUUAUUAUUCUCUUUGGGAGUAAGACAAUUAGUAGCAAAAUUUUUUUUUUUUUUUUUUUUUUACAGAAUUGAAAAAUUCAACUUAUGGUGAUUUGGAUGAACUUUUUAUUUUUUAUUUUAAAAUUUUGUAGAAGGAUUUCUUGUUUUUCUCUAAGUUUUAUUUCAAGUUUGCUUUUCUUUAUUCUUAAAAGUUUGAAUUUUUUUAACAAAUGCCAAAAUAUCUUAUGGAGUGAGAAUAGGUUCACGCCUAUCAAGCUCAUUCUUUUCUUUCAAAGAGGCUUUAGGGUUACCCUUUUAGGUCUCCUUGGAGAUGGCAAAGUCAUCUUAUAGGUUCGUGAAGAAUCUACAAGUUCAUAUACUUUCAACAUGUCUACAUUUUUACUUUCCUUUAUUGCGACCAUUUUAUAUAUAUCUAGAUCCCGUAUAAAUCUCUCAAAGAGAGAUCUCAAUAUCUUUUUAACCAUUUUAGAGUUAGAGAUUAUUUCUCCUAGGUUAAAACAUAAAUUAAUAUUUUCACUAGGUUCAAUAUAAAACACAAAGGUGCUUUCAUCAUCUUUCAUUCUAAUACUUUCAAACUUAAGCAUUUAACUUCAACAUGGACUCAUGUGUUACUACUAAGAUGUGCCAAACCUCUUUAGUAUAUUUGCAAGUACUAAUCCUACAAAACAUGUUAAGAUGGACCCUAUUGCAAAUAUAGUAAAGGCUUAAGCAUUCGUCUCACUAUCUUCAGUUUGUGAUCUAUCUUUAGUUUAAGUUCGCCAUAUGAGCUUUUAUUCUUUAGUAGGGGUAACCACCCAAAUUUUAUUGUAUUCCAUAUUUUUUCUUUUUGCAUUCUCAUAAAGAAUUAUAUUCUUACCUUUUAGUCGAGGUAGUUAUUUCCAUCAAAGAAUGGGGGAUGAAUAAUUAAAGUACCCACUUUUUGUGAUUCCAUUAACCAAGAUUAAUUAGUGAGAAUAAAUAAUUUUUUAUUUUUGAAACUUAACCCACUUUAAUAACACUUGAAAAAAAUUGUGUCUUGAUAUAAAAGAAUCUAAAGGGGGGUGAAUGGGUAGUCCACGGAAUAAACCUCAACUUUUAAUUUUCUUUAUCAAUCAUAUAAUUAAUAUUGAGUAAAAGUUAAUGAAUCUCAUGCAAAUGUAAAUUCAAUCACACGAAUGAACACAAAAUCUAACAUUAAAAAAAAAAAAAAAAAAAAAACACUUAGAACCUUAGGUGUAAAAAACUAUGGAUGAUCACUCAGCCAUUAAAUAUAAAACAAAUGGUACAUAUAUAGUUUUACUUGACCGGAUGCACUUAUUUCCUAAGGUUUUAUACCAUUAAUACCUACAGUCAUUUUUUGUGUCCCUGAUGCAACAGUCCCUCAUACUCCCUAAUGGAUCCCUUGAAACCCUUAUCAAAAUUUGCACUAUGUGUGUGUCAAACCUUUGUUGUAGAUGAAAGGUUCUUGUAAGAAAGAUUUUGAAAGGUUUCAAAGAUGGAUGUACAAGCUUUAAUAAUAAUGAUAUUUUUUUAAGGUUUAAGGGUCCACCAAUUUUUAAUAAAACAAAUCUAUGUAUACUUGCAAAACCCUAAUAAUUAAUUAUGGAGAGUUUCUGAAUUUUAAACCACUUUGAAAAUGAGUUUCUAGAGUUAGAAAUGAAGGGAGAGACAAAAAAAAAUCAUCAACAAGAUGUUUGAAUGCUUGUGGGGUGGGGGGGGAGAAAGCUUAAAUGCCCUUGAGAAGCAUUUGAACACCCCUCAGUACAUUUGAAUGCUCACCUUUAAUUAUCUCUUUAUUUUUGCAAUAUUACGAGCUUUUCUCCAUAUGUUUCAUCCCAAUUUCAUAUUUUAGUCAUUCCAUAAGUUUUAUCAACUUUAGAUGCAUACAUAUCUCGAAAAACAUCGGCAUUGAAAAGAUUCAAGGUUAGCCUUGAAGAAGUCUGAAGUUAAAUAGAAGGUGAUAAGACCUAAGGAAAUAUGUCACGUCUAAUCAAUAAGAAAUAUAACAAAAUUGCAAACUAAAUCUAAUACAUCAGCAAAUUCAUAUGAGAAGAAAUCAGUUCACUCUUGUAAUACAAGCUUUGGUGUGUAGUUAAUCCUAUGAGGAUUUUUGAUAUUGUCUUUGAGGAAAGAAAAGUGGCUUUAAAAAUCACCAGUGGGGAUUAAGAUCAAGUGGUAUGUAUGUAUGUAUGUAUGUAUGUAUGUAUGGAGAGAAAGAGAGAGAAAUCAACCUCCUUGUGCAAUUGCAUUUGCCAUAGUUAUUGUUGCAUACCAAAUGUUGUUUCAUGUGGUUCCUCUUUGAAACCAUACAAUCACUACCCACCCAAUUUGAAAUGAAACUCUAUUUUGGUAAUGCUUUAUCUAAGAAUGAAAAUAGUUGACAAGGAGUAGAGCAUGUAAAAACAUUUUCCUAUUUGAUUUAGGUUAAGGGUUAUCAAACACAUCCACCAUUCCUCUCUUCACGCCUAGCUACUUUAUUGAGAAAAUUAAAAAAGAAAGAGUAGGUCCAAGAGAAAAAAUAAGUGUAUUUAACAUCAUCCUAAGUUAUUAAUAUAUAGUCAAUAAAAAAUAUCGAAUUACCUUUAGAGAUGCCUAAGAAUCCCAAUUUGCUUGUUUCACAGACAAGUUUUCUACCCCAAGUCAUGCAUGGGACUAUGAAUGCAAGAACAACUCAAGAUUUUUAUAACACAAGAGCCUUGACCUUUGUUCUCAAGAAGAAAACUAAAAAACUUCAAGAGAGGACAUUUUUGGGGGAAACCUCUAUUCUCUUGUUAAUAAAAAAAAAAACUUUCUUAAUCCAUUUUUCUCAUUAUUAUUAUUCUUUUCCAUAACUUUCGAUAGUUAAAAACUCCCAGAAAAUGCUUCAUCUGCUUUUAAAAAUAUUGGAUGAGGUCGGGUUGAGCUAUAUAUAUAUAUAUAUAUAGACACACACACACGUAUGUAUGUAUGUAUGUAUUGUCCAAACUCAUGGAAAGACCAAUGUCUGACAUACAUUUUAUUAGGUUAUUCCUUUCUCCAAAUAGACAUUAAUAAAUUAAUUUCUGAUUAUGCAUCAAUAUCAGUCUAUAUACCAUGUGCCAUUGAGCCUGUUAGAGAAUUAAAUUCAAUAAAUUUAGAACCGAAAGCAUUGUUUGUCAAAGAUGGAUGGUGGAUGAUGGCCCGGAAUAUUUUCCUUUUGAUCUAUGAAUGGAUGGACGAGAAACUCUUCAUGAAUGAAUCCACCUUUGAGAAGGAAUGAUGUGGACAUAUUAGAACGUUAAAGAUGGUGUGGCUUUCAGUGAAACUUGGAGUGUUGAUCAACUUAGAAAAUUGAUUGGAUGAAAUUUAACUGAAACUCCUUUGAAAUCGACUGUGGUUCAGAAUAAAUUAUUUCCUUUGCUUUAAUUUGCUUCAAAAUGGACACCCUUCCCUACUAAGAGGUUCCUGUUGAAUAGAAGUUGACGCAACUUGUGACAUAUGAAGGAAAGAGUUGAGAAACUGGAAUCAUACCUUGUGAUUGAACUAAAGAUUGUUGCCCAACUCCAAUUGCUCAAAAGGACAGAGUUGGGCCCAUUUUGAUAAAAGUAACCAUAUCCAUCAAGUCAUUGAAAAAGCAAUUCACAUCUAUCUUUGAAGUCGAUCACACUCUACAAAGAGAGUAGAGGUCCCCACCAACCUAUAGAGUUGAACCAUUAAAGUUUGUUGGCAUAAUAGAAUUAUUUUAUCCCAAAUUCUUCAUUAAAGGUUGCUUGAAUAAGAAGAUAUGUGAACUCACAUUUUUCACGUGCGUUCCCACUCAAUUGGCCAGACUCGUUUUUAUUUGUGAAGAAUUAGUUUAGAAAAGUUGGAGUCGCCGCUUAUUUUAUUUUUAUUUUAAAGGGAAAAUAAAACAAGAAAGAAAACCCUAAAGAAGUGAUUUCAUAGUUUUUGAAAAUGCGUGUCUUUGAAAAACUCGAGUCUAGGUCCGGGGAUCAAGUUAUCUAUUGGGAAUGUACCUCUAAAAAGUAGCACCCUUUUAAGCCCUAAAGAGGUCUCUAUUGACCUAGUUGAGGGAAAUUGGGCAAUUAAUUGGUUGAUUAUAGAUACCUAGGUAGGCUAAGGUGAUUUCGAGAUUUUAUCAAUACUAGCAUGUCAAAUAAGAAAUCAAAUUACAAUCAUAAAGAAGAGUUAGGGUGUAUACCUGAACUGCUUCUUACCUGCUACCAUAAGACAAUCAAAGUUAAUUUGAAUAGUAUAUCAUUCAACAUGCGUUUUAUUAGAGAUAAUCAAACAAGUAUCAAGGCAAUCAAGGAUAGCAUUCAAACAUGGAUAUAGCUCAUGAUAACGUGCAUUUUCAUAGAAUUUUGGAAUUAGAGGAUAGAGAGCUUACCUGGAUAGAAAGUAUAUUUUAUAAGAUUCCUCCAAAAAUGCUAGAGUGGUUAGGGCAAGCAUAAAUUAUAUAAAAUAUUCAUUAUGUCUAAUAUACAAUGUCAAAGCCAAAAUUGAGCUAAGAUAAAUCAAAUGACUCCAAAAAUAAUAACAAUUUCAAGUAUAAAACCAUCAACAUGCAGUUAGAAAAAGUGACAUGCAUAAACGAAUUUUUUAAAAAUAAUAAAUGAUCACAUAAAAACUGAAUUCAAGGUAAGAUAGUACUCAAAAAUAUUUUUAAAACACUCCAAUUAAUUAGAUGUCCAAAAUCUAGCAUACACAGUAGGUACGACUUUGAAAAAUCAUAUCUCCCUCAAAAAGGCAUAUUUUUUUUAAUAUUUUAUGUGUCUAAUAUCAAUUUCAAGAAGCGUAUAAUUGAGGAAAAAUAUUGAAUCAAAUUUAAAAAGUUGUCUGGUAUUUAAUUUUUGCAAAAAGAUCUCGGGUUUUUAGAACUGGGUGAAAACGGAGCCCCCCUAAAGACUCGUUUAUAUCUUCUAUUCUAGAAUGGUUUUCUAACUCAAAUGAAACUUAAAAUUCAAGUUCAAGGAGUGAGGAAAGUCAUACAAGUUUUGAAUUUUUUUUAAAGCAUUUUGAAGUUGUUGAAACGAAUUUUAAAGCUAAAAGGUCAGUGAUUGAGUUAAAACUGGCAACAACGAAGAAUUUUUGAGAAAAAAGAAAAGAAAAAAAUCUCUUAUGUAGGGGUUCCAUCUGCUGCUCCAUAUGCUAGUAGAUCAGAACUCUUGUUCCCAAACUUUCAAACUGUAACAGAAGCUUUGCAUUGGUCAAAGAUGCAAUGCAUUCCUACAAAGGAAUAUGCAGGUUCAAUCUUUUGAACUGGGGGAUCGUUGUCACUUGCACUUGAGCUGAAACUGGUUCUGUGACUUGAAGCUUGAUAGCCACUUCGUGGGUCCCUGCUGGAACUCCAACUGUCCACCUCAAUGACAGAUACUGAAGGAAUGGCACCAACUAGAAGCCUUUUCUCGAAUUCGUUUUCUGUUACAACAUCCUUGAGUGACUUCUUCAAGCCCUUAGAUUAUUUUGAAUAGUCUGAAGAGUUCCGAUUCCACAUUCAAAGCUUUCACUGGUCAAAACCAGCCUUGUACUAGCAUCAUCUUCAGCUUUAGGAAUUACACACCUAAAAAAGGUGGCCAUGAAGGAAUGGAGUCCGGGAGAAGAUGCAGUUUCUGCAAAAGGAGUUUGUGGGUUCCAAAUGCUUGGUUUGAAGAGUUUGGUCACAACUCGAUCGUGCAUGUGUCUUCUUCUGCAGAUCCACUUGCGCAUGAACUCAAUCAAAGGCCAAUUUAGAAAGUUUCUUUGGUUUCAGAUUUGCUUAUUUCCAGGAAAUCUGGAAAGUGAGCACUGCGUCAUUUGCGAGAUAGCAGGAUUUUGCAUAAUCUGACCUAGUGAAUCAGUAUCGGAUAUCAUCUGUUAUCAUAAGCAAGAGUAAACCUGAAUGCAUCUGAGCCUGGAAGGCACUCCGGGGUAGCUUUGAGGGCAAUAUACCAGGGUCUAAAGGCAGGAGGCAAUCGACAACCACUUUCUAUUUCAAACUUAUCGCAUCCUGAGGUGCAUUUUCCAGCGUCUUAACUCUCUGUGUCAAACGUCCUCUGACUUCAUGAAUGUCUUGCUCUGACCAAUCUUCGAACCAAGAUCAAUUUCAUUGGUGAUCUUCGUGCCAAGUGAGGAUCUUCAAGGACAUGCCGGAUUAUAGUAGCAGCAACAUUGUCAAACCCAGAAAGGGGGCUCUUGUUGGCAAAGGCAAAAGCAUGGGUAAGCCUCCGUCAUCAAGAAAAUUAAAAGGGAUGGAAUGAGUUCUGGUAAGGGUAGUGUACAGCUGUAGGAUAGCAUGCAUUGUUUCAGAUGGAAGUCGGUUCCUGGUAUAAAUACAAACAAUCUCAAUAAGUCUCUUCUGCUCACUCAUAUCUAUAUGCUUUGGAGGUAAUUACAAUGCGGACUGCAAUCGUUCUGCUCAUCAUCAUCAAUGGUUAUGGACGUGCCUACUGACAUUAUACUUCUUCAAUUGUUCUGCAAGAUCGGGAUUCAAUUUUUGAUCCACUUGUAGCGGCCAGAUGGCGAAGAAGGUUGCUGUUACCCAAUUUGGAACUUGGGAUUUCUCGUUGUCACACGCACCAGAAUCUUAUCGUGAAAGUGAAUGUUUCCACUCUCCGACGUGAAGCUUCAAAGAUUUAUCUGGAAUAUGAAAAUUGCCCCCCAUAAACAGAUAAUACUACAGAUUCAGCGGUGUCAUCGAGCCCACAGGCAGUUUCUGUCGCGAAGAUGUAAGUUCUAGACGAUCGCACAUCUUCCAGUGCCGACCCUUCUCCUACACAACCAAAGUGGUGUCUCCAACAGAAACACUUUUAUUAGCACACGCCCCCAAGUUCCUAUGGAACUGUGAUUGCUGUCAUAUCUUGAACUCUCUUAGCCUAUUGAGAUGCUAUAAUUAAACAGCAUAUGCACCAUGAGCACACAAAGAGAAAUCUUGAAGAACCUCACGAAAGCCAAUUCCCCCAACCAUUCCAGCAACAAAAACCAGACCAGUAGCUUAAACUUUUGAUUUCCACGGUCCAUCAAACCCAGAAACAACUUGGAGUUCAUGAAAAACAUUUUUUUUAUUAUUAUUACCAUAAGCCCAAGACUACCAGAUAGUUUUCAAAGAAUAAAGGUUGGUAUUUUUUUAUUUUUUUUUUUUUGCAUGAAGGGGGAUUUUAAACAAAAAAAAACAGAGCACGCUCAAGACAAAAAUAAAAAAUAAAAAAUCAAACCUUCAAUCAGGACACCACUUCAUGCCGCCCUCAAUGGGACCAAACGGGUGGGACAAGCAGAGAGCAGUGAUAUGAUGAAUUAAAUAUCAAGCUCAAAAACAACCCAUACAUCUGUUAUCUUCGGGAAAAGUCAAAGAGAGCGUAAAAGAACCAAAACAGAGUAGAUAUGAAAACAGGAUCAAACUCAGGAAAACCACCAUUUGAACUUUAAAGUCCAUGCCAAUCAACAAGUUAAAGUCCAGACAAUCGACAGAAAAUAGAGCGGAGAAAUAAAACAGAAUGAGAAUGUAGAGCCAACAGUGAUCAUACCUCUUCUUCCAAAGAAAAUUAUCCAGAACCAAAAUAAGCCUCCUUUUUUCCUUCGUUCCUCCCUGCUUUCUAUAUCUCUUCCUUUUCUCUCCUGCUAUAUCUCCUUGCUAUCUCCUUUUGCCUAUGAAAACAAUCUCCGAAUCCCCCUAAAACCACCCGCCUGUGUUUUAAUAUCAAUUGGAGUCGUCCAAACUGUGACUCCUCUUCUCUGCCAAAUUCUAUCUCAUCCACCAGAAAAAGUCCUUUUUUUUCUUUCCAAAAAUCAAUCCAUGCAUAUCACAUAAAGAGUCCUACAUUUUCCAAAAUCUUCUCCAUUGGUAGAUUUUCUUAUCACACUUCAAAUUAUUAAAUCGGAUAAAUGAAUAAUAAAUAAAUAAGAGAAUGGUAAAAUAAUAAUAAUAGAUAAAUGAAUAAAUAACAAGAUAAUGAACAAAAUAAAUAAAUAAUAAUAAUGAAUAACUAAAUAAAUAAAAGUGAUUGACAAUAAUAAUAAAAAUAAAACUUCAAUUUAUUAAAUCAAAUAAAUGAAUAAAAAAUAAAUAAAUCAGAGAAUGAUAAAAUAAUAAUAAUAGAUAAAUGAGUAAAUUAACAAGAUAAUGAACAAAAUAAAUAAAAAAUAAUGAAUAACUAAAUAAAUAAAAGUGACUGACAAUAAUAAUAAAAAUAAAACUUCAAAUUAUUAAAUCGGAUAACUGAAUAAAUAAUAAAUAAAUAAAAUAAUAAUAAUAGAUAAAUGAAUAAAUAACAAGAUAAUAAACAAAAUAAAUAAAAAAUAAUGAAUAACUAAAUAAAUAAAAGUGGCUGACAAUAAUAAUAAAAAUAAAACUUCAAAUUAUUAAAUCAGAUAAAUGAAUAAUAAAUAAAUAAAUAAAAUAAUAAAUAAAUCGGAGAAUGAUAAAAUAAUAAUAAUUUAUAAAUGAAUAAAUAAAAAAAUAAUGAACAAAAUAAAUAAAAAAUAAUGAUUAACUAAAUAAAUAAAAGUGAUUGACAAUAAUAAUAAAAAAUAAAAAUAAAUAAAUAAAUGAAAUAAAUGAGUCAUGCAACCAAACAAGUCACGCUAAAAUGUCUAAUAGGUCAAGCGUGCCUAAAUAGGCUUAAAAGUGUCUAAAGGGGCUUAAGUGAAACUAGACAGGCCUAAGGUGUCUAAAUGGGUUUAAGGUAGUGCCUAAUGGGCCGGAUAUACCUAUAUGGGCCUAGGGUGAGACUAGGUGGGCCUAACUAAGUCUAACCUAAAGUGCACCUAAGUGAAGCCUAAUCUAAACUUGAAAGGCAGCUAAGGUCAUAAUGUGGAACCAGAUAAACCCUUUAACCAAAUUCUUCAAAGUGGUUCAGAAAAUGUAAGCUGCACGAGUAGUAAUGGGCCACCAAGAAAUUGUUGUAAAGUACCGAACAAACACGUAAAAGGACAUGUGCUAAGAGGACAAAAUGGAGGUUUUACAAAAUCAUUAAUAUUGUAAUGUAUGUCCAAACUUACAUUAAAAGAGAAAUGUAGGACUACUAAAUCCAUAUUAGCAAUUUAUUUAUUCAAGUCAUAUAAUUUUGAAAUUUAAAGUAAUUGUGAGUAUGGAUAACCCAUAAUAAAUCCAACAAAGAAAAAUUUAAAGUCAUCAUUAUAAACAAAGUAGGAGAACGUUAGAACCAUAAGUGGUUUAAUGACCACAUUAAGUUUUCUUAUAAAAAAAAGAAUCUUAAAAUGUUUGGAUUUAUUUUCUCAUGUAUGAAUUUUGACAAAAUUAAAUUAGUUCAUUUUGAAAUUCAUAAUACUUAUUAAGUUCAUGUUCCAAUUGUUAUUAUUAUCAAUUAAAAAAUGUUCAAAGUAUUUAACUAGUGGUUUAUUGAUGGAUAGAACCAUAAUGCACCUAUAAAUAGAAGAGCUCUUAAUCCCUUUCUCCACUCUUACAAUUUUUUUUAAGGAUUUAGUGGACUUAUAAUAAUGGUUGCAAGCUUGCAUUUAGUGGAAAAGCAGCAAAAAGAAGCAAAAAAAGAAGUGGUUAUAGAUUCAUGUCUUCAAAUGGUUACAACACCUAAAAGCCUAUCCAACUCUCAAAUUCAAAUCUAAAACAGCUUCAAAGUUGCUGGUGGGGCCAGAACUUUUCACAUGUGCAAGUAGCAUUUGUGGAAUAACUAGCUUGGGGUUGUAAGUUAGCAUGAGAUUGUGAACCAUUAGAUUUUGAAGAAGCCGUGUAAGAGUAAAAAUGAAAGAUGCUAUGGAUGAGGAAAUAAGACAAUAAUAUUGAAGUAAAAUCUCUUUCAAAAGAGAAAGACAUUUGAAGACAGACAGAUAUACAAAACAAAGAAGAAAACAAAAGGAGAAGUAGACAAAUAUAAAACCUCCCAAAUUUGCAGAUUUUAGAAGAUUAAGAUCAGAACUUUUCAUAUAUGCAAGUAGCAUUUGUGGAAUAACCAGCUUGGGGUUGUAAGUCAGCAUGAGAUUAUGAACCAUUAGAUUUUGAAGAAGCUGUGUAAGAUUAAAAAUGAAAGAUGCUAUGAGGAAAUAAAAAAUAAUAAUAUUGAAGCAAAAUCUCUUUUGAAGGGGAAAGAGAUUUGAAGUAAAACAAAUAUACAAAACAAAGAAGAAAACAAAAAGAAAAGUAGAUAGAUACAAAACCUCCCAAAUUGGAAGAUUUUAGAAGAUUAAGAACACUACUUGAAGUUACAAAUUAAGUUUAAGAGAGUAUGUUAGAAAAUAAAUUUGAGUAGAUAAAAAAGUUUCCAAUAAAAAAAAUAAUUUGAUUUAAUUAGUUUCUAAAAGUCAAUAGAAAUAUUUUAGUUUGAGUAAUUCAGUCACAUUUUAUUACUUGGAGUUUUUAUUUUGUUAAAUACGAGUAUGUAUAGAAAGAUGAUGGAAGAUAAUAAUUUGUUCUUAAUCUUUCUCAAUUAUUCAUCUCUUUUUGUAAAUGUUUGUGCAUUUUUUCAACCCUAUUACUUCAACAAUAACGUGCUACUUAAUCUUCGAAUUAAGUACACACCAUAUGUUAUUCUCUUGAGAUUUGAUGAAUGAAAUAAGGAGAGAAUGAAAUAAAGGUACACCCCUUGAAGCUAGCUUUCAGCUGCUCCACAGAGGGCUCAGCAUGAAGCUGUGAGAUCAGCCAUCAAAAGAAAUAAUAGCACACCCCAAAAAUCCAUGGCCAAGUUGGAAACGGUGCCAAAGAAGAAGCUGCUUGUUCCGGAUUCCCACGGCAUGUCAUGAGAAUGGGACAGGGAAAGCUGGUGGCCAAACCUACCAGAAGGAGAAAAAGGGUGCCCCAAUUCUCACAGUAGAGGCGAAUAAGCCAAUUUGACCUUGUUGGCUUUUGCUUCCACAGCUGCCCUCACCUUCCAUUGCGAAAAUGCUAGGUUGGAGAUUUUUUUUGUCCAUUUGUUCCAUCAAUAGCUUGAUUGGAGAAGCAAUCAGUGAUGGUUCUUGAAGUUUUUAGACCCUCCCCGCUUAAAACUUCUUCAAUUCCCUUUCAAAUGUUAGGUGUUAAACUCCCGUUUCCAAAUGUUAAGUUUAAGAGAGUAUGUUAGAAAAUAAAAUUGAGUAGAUAAAAAAGUUUCCAAUAAAAAAAAUAAUUUGAUUUAAUUAGUUUCUAAAAGUCAAUAGAAAUAUUUUAGUUUGAGUAAUUCAGUCACAUUUUAUUACUUGGAGUUUUUAUUUUGUUAAAUACGAGUAUGUAUAGAAAGAUGAUGGAAGAUAAUAAUUUGUUCUUAAUCUUUCUCAAUUAUUCAUCUCUUUUUGUAAAUGUUUGUGCAUUUUUUCAACCCUAUUACUUCAACAAUAAUGUGCUACUUAAUCUUCGAAACAAAUAUAAAAAAGAUGGUUAGUUAUGGUUAUGAUGGUUUUUGCCCUUCUCAUUAAAUUUGAUAGAUGAUUAAAAAAAAAAACUCUUCAUCAGUUAAUCCUAUUUACGAGCAGAAAUUAUAUGGAAUUUGAAAGUAAAAAAAUAUAUAGUUAAGCUUCCAUUGUUGAUAAUCUUGUCGUAUGAAAUUUAAUUACAAAGUCCCAUUGGAGGAUAUAUUAAACUUGUUCAACAUCAGUGUCUGAUUUUUGGUUUGAAAUAGACUUUCUGUUAAGGGUCAUCGUUGAAUGGUGGUUGUAGAGUUGAUCCAUUAUUGACUUGGUAAGUUGAGUACUCCACUUGUGAUGUGGAGUCACCAUAUCACAAACACUACAACCCCACCAUGAUCUUUUCCUUCUUUUGUUUUUUCUCUCCAUGUGAUUCUGCAAGAAAAACUUUCCCUACUUUAAGUUCAACCAGCUUAACCAUCGUAGAGAUGCCUUGUCUUUUUUACUUUGUCCAGAAAAUUACACUUUUCUAUUAAAUUUUGUGGUAAAAAAUCGCACUAACAUCACAUCACAUCACAGCAGCCCUUCUGUUUCUGUGUUGUACGUUACUGGAAAGUGGUUGAUGAUUUUCCCACAUACAUUGAAUUCUCUGUCAUGUAGGGGUUGCAAACUUAAUUAAGCUAAGUCUUAACUUUCUACAAUAAUAUUCCAUUAGAUCGACAAUUAUACAAUAAUGGUCCUUAUCAAGUGAGUUAAAGAAUUAAUAAAUUAAAGUGACACUUGAUAAAACUAAAAACUUAGGCUAUGUUUAAUUUUUAGAAAAAAAAUUAGGAAAAAAAAAAAGGAAAAUAAUUUUUUUGGGAUUGGUUUUGCGUCAAACAUAUGAAAGAAAAUUAAAUAUAAUUAAAAUUAUUAAAAAAAUGUAUGAUUUUAAAUUAUAUAAUCUUUAUAUAAAAAAGUCAAAUUAGUAAAAUAAGCUUUAAAUAGCACAUAAAAACUAUAUAUCAAAUUUAAAUCUAAUUUUUAUUUUCUUUCAUUUUUUUUCUUUUAAUUUUAUUUCCUUUGCAUUUUCUUUCGAACCUUCCAAAAACCAAACAUAGUCUUAAUAGUUAAUUGUGUAAAAUGAUUUAAUACGAGUUUUACUAAAUUUCAUGAGUUGAAACUUAUUAUUAAAUUUUUACUUUAAAUGUUAAAAUUGCUUAAUAAAUUAAAUUAUAAACUUUUGAAACUUCUAUAUUCAACAUAUUCUCUUAUAUUAAGCAAAGGGCUUAAGAGAAACAAGAAAGCAAGAUGCAAUUGUGAUAGAAAAUUAAUGAGAAAUUGAAAUAGAGUUAAUUUUAGGAAUAAUUGUGCUUGAGGGGUGGUUGAGAUUGAUAAUUGACCCGAAGGACGUCAUGUAAAGAGUGAUGUUAACAACAUCUGCCUAAUUGGUAUUAUACAAACUACAAAUCCUUCAAAGCAAUUAUUUCACUAUGUUUUUUGUGCCCAAUAUAUAUAUAUUUGAUAGAGACAAAUUAUUAGGUCUCAUAGGUUCAAAACAUAAUUGUCUCUUAAAAUUCAACCGCCCAAGAUACUAUCUUGAAUUCCAUAAAGAUGAUCUUUUUAAUUUAUUAGUUGAAAAGGACUAUCUUGAAUUCAGUAAAGGCGAUAUUUUUAAUCUAUUACUUUAAAUGUCCAUUUCAACUAGAGUACUAUGAUAAAAACACUUUUAACCUAUAAUGUUUUUCUUAGUAACACUUUAAUUAGAAAUACUUACACUAAGACGUGAUGUUUGGAUAUAAAGAAAAAUUAUUUUUAUAGUAAUUUGGUAAUAUGUUAUGUAAGGAACAUUUGAAAGAAAGAAAAAAAAACCUCAUGUGAGGACUAAUUCAAGGAUGGGUUCAAGUGAUUUUCUCAAGUUUUUUAGUGUAAUUUUUAAAACUUUACCAAUAAUUUUAUUUUGUCAGAUAUAACACAUUUAUAAUGUAGAAAUACAGUCCUGAUCAUGGUUUUAAAAAUCGGACCGAACUGGCCUAUCUGACCUCUAGCCGGUCACGAUUCAAGUCCAGUCCGACCAAUUAAAUCGAAAAGUGAUCGAACUGAAAUUGUACCGCUUGAACCGGCGGUCCGAUUGGCGAACCAGACAAACCGACCGGUUCCCUCUGAACCGUCUGGUUCAACCAUUUUUUAUUUUUUUAGUUAUUCUCAUCCCCCUCCCCCACCUAGAGCAUCGUCCACCGACAAUGGUACCUCCACUGUCGCCUGUAUCAUCGUCCCAUCGACAGCAUAUCCCCAACAUUAGAAACCCCACUCCUUGCGUCGCACGAUCGAAAGCCCCCCACCGUGUGCUGGAAAUCCCCCCCACCCAGCACCGCGCGCUGGAAACCUCCCAACCCCACCCCAAAAUGGCUGCAAAUCCCCAUCGUCGGCCCCCGCUUGUAAAGCCCCAUCGCUCCCCACCAUCCCCCACCCCUGACAACAUGUUGAAAAGCUCCCACAAUUGAAAAAUGUAGUUGUUCAAGCCACCUUUGACAAAAAAAAUCCGUACUUGGCUGAAGUAAUGAAGUCCAACUCCCUAUCAAAGUGUUUUGAGGCAGGUUAUGUGUGAUUGGUGGAUGAAUCUUUAGCUGAAGAAGAAAGAUGGAAGACUUGGAAGUGUUCCAAAAAAGUUAGAUGAUGCGUUGGAAACGGGAAACCUCCCAAAUUUUAAUGUUUUAUAUUUAAUUUCUUAAAUUUUUUUAUUGAUUAUAAUUGUAGUGGUAUGUUUAAUAUUUAUUUUUUUGUUUUUGUUUUAUUUAUUACACAUUGAAAUUUUAAUUGAUUGAAAUUAUUGAAAAUGUUAGGUGAUUGACAUCUACAUGUAAAAAAUUUUGUGAAAAAACUUAACAAAUAUAGUAGAUAUUAUCAAAAUUUAGAUAGAAUUUAUUAUUUUUAUUUAUUAUUAUUUUUUUAAUUUUAAUAAUAUAUAAAAUAUAUAUUUAUGACGUCACUGGUUCGACCGCUGGUCCGACCAGUGAAUCGUGAACCGAUGACUUUUUCGAUUCAAUGACCGGUCCAAUUAUGAAAACAUUGGUCCUAAUACUUGUCCAAUCAUAAAAAUGAAAGGGAAACACUAUUGUAGGGUUGCUUCCAAGGAGUGGCUGUUAUGAAAGGAGGGAUAAAUCCAAGCAUCCAUUAACACCUCCACAAACUAGAGUCCCAUAUAUCUGUCUAAUAAGACAACUCUUAAGGUAUCCUCCUCCAUUUUCCAAUGGCCAAAUCAAUCCCCUCUCCUCUCUAUGAAAAAAUCCCCCAGAAAAACACACUCCAUAGAGCCUUGGACCUCACCAUCUUCUUCCUUCUCCUCUCUCUCCUUGCUUAUCGUCUCCUCUCCCUCAAAAACAAUGGCCUCACUUGGCUCGUCGCCUUCCUCUGUGAGUCAUGGUUCACCUUUCUUUGGGUUCUUAACUUGAGCUCCAAAUGGAAUCCUGUGUCCUACAAAACAUACCCUGAACGCCUUCUACAGUGUCAUCGGUAUCCAAUUAUAUCUUCUCUUAGUAAAACUCUUCACGUGCUUUGGCGUUUUUUUAUGCCUUCAAUUUUUAUAUAUAACUAUACUCAUGAUUUUCUGAACAGGGUUGAUGAGCUUCCUCCAGUGGACAUGUUUGUGACAACUGCAGAUCCCAUCCUGGAACCUCCUAUCAUCACUGUAAACACUGUCCUCUCCCUGCUGGCGGUUGACUAUCCAGCUAACAAGCUUUCUUGCUAUGUGUCCGAUGAUGGGGCUUCCCCUCUCACCUUUUACGCUCUCCUUGAAGCAUCCAAGUUUGCCAAGCUUUGGGUUCCUUUCUGUAAGAAGUAUGGUAUUCAAACUAGAGCUCCCUUUAGAUACUUUUCCAGCGAGUUGGUCUCAUCCCAUGAUAAUUCAAUGGACUUCCUAAAAGAAUAUAGAAAAAUUAAGGUACGCUCACUAUUCCUAGUUGGAACUAUAAGAGGAGAUUAAUCAUAUUAAUAUUUCCUCUCUAUCAUUGUACAGUGAUGCUUUGAUAAAAGCUUUUACAGAUAUCUGCCUUACGCUUAAGCAAUUUUGUUUCUCUUCAUCUCUUUUAGGAAGGAUACCAAGAGCUUGGACGAAAAAUUGAAGAUGCAGCCCUAAAGUCAAUGCCGUAUGAGCUUAGUACUGCAGAGUUUGUUGCUUUCUCAAAUGUAGAAAGGAGAAACCAUCCGACCAUAAUCAAGGUAUGUUUAUAUAUAUACACCAUCAUUAAUUCUAUAUCAAAACAAGCAACCACUUAGAGCAAAUCAUAAGAGAUUAAAGUGACUGUAUAGUUUGAAACUAAUUGUUUUGGGUUUUUCUCUAUCAUUGAAAAGUAACUUCUUUGGAAUUAAUAAAAAAUAGUCAUAUUACAAAAAGGUUUCAUCUAUUUGUACUUUAUGUGUGUCAUUUCUUUGUACUUAUUAUCAUUUUACUGUAAAAUAAUAUUUCAUUCAGUGAUGUAGAUUUAGUUGCAUGCAUCAAAGGUUGGUUGAGAUUAAAAGUUCAGUAUACUAAAUCGAAUAAGCUUGGCAUGAACUCAUCUUAAGGCGAAAUAGCAUUAAAUUUUUUCAAAAGCAUAAGGAUUUAAAUAUUUUCCCCGUGGAUUAGUAUUUAAAGAACAGAAAAAUGCAUCCAAUUUAAAAGAUAUUACUUUUUGGCUAACAUUGAGAGAGCGAGUGGUGGUAAAGGACGUAUUUGACAAUAUUUCUAUAACAAUGAAUGGUGAUUUUUGUAGGUUAUAUUGGAGAACAAGGAGAGCAGCUCUGAUGGGUUGCCACAUCUAGUCUAUGUAUCCAGAGAGAAGCAUCCCAAGCAUCCACACCAUUACAAAGCCGGUGCCAUGAAUGUUCUGGUAAGGAAGCCCCUUGAAUUGGUAUAAUUACUGAUAUUCCUUCUUUUCCCCUAAUUGUUUCAUGAUAAACAGACCAGAGUCUCUGGAGCUAUGACAAAUGCUCCUUUCAUGCUGAACGUAGACUGUGAUAUGUACGCCAACAAUCCACAGAUUUUUCAUCAUGCAAUGUGUUUGCUCCUCGGUUCCAAGAGUGAACAGGACUGCGGGUUUGUUCAGUCUCCACAAAUGUUCUAUGAUGUAGUAAAGGACGACCCACUUGGAAAUCAGAUGGUAGUUUUGUUUAAGGUAUGCCAAAUUUCAAUAGUGAAGAGCGAUCUCUUCCAUACUAUAGAGCACACCUAGUAGAAGCCUCUUUCAUUUUUCUUAUUAAUUAAUGUGUUUUUCUGAAUUAGUAUGUGGGAAGUGGGAUAGCAGGGCUUCAAGGACCUCUGUAUUCUGGAACGGGAUGUUUUCAUCGAAGAAAAGUUAUCUAUGGGUCAUGGCCGGAUGGCAGGAUGGAGAUUAAAGGAAGAAAUGGUAUGCAGUCAACUUUUCCACGGUCAUUCUUCACUUUAUUUAUGUACCAUUUUAAUUUUCUUAGUGGGAUCUUAAAAUGUGCUAUGAAACUAAGCAUUACAGUUUUCUCUACUUUUUGGUAGGAAAAUUAACCGAUGAGAGAUUAGAAAAAACAUUCGGAAAUUCAAAGGAAUUCACAAAAACAGCUGCAAGGAUUUUAUCAGGGUUGAGCGGGAUUUCGGAUUGUCCAUAUGAUCUUUCGAAUCGGGUUGAGGCAGCAUACCAAAUUGCAAGUUGCAGCUAUGAGUAUGGAACUAGCUGGGGCACAAAGGUGAGUUGCCAAUAGUUAGAACAAGAAGAAUAGUAUCUCAAAUGAUACAUUUAGUUCAACCAUUUUUCAUUAAAUAAGGAUCUAUUUUUAUUUUUUAUUUUUGAAAAGAAACUUAACUAGAAGUUACAUGCAUUAUGUGACUAUCCAUGUUCAGAUUGGUUGGUUAUAUGGAACCACAACAGAAGACAUCCUCACAGGUAUGAGGAUACAUGCAAGAGGUUGGAAAUCCACAGAUUGCCGGCCUGACCCUCCUGCAUUUCUUGGGUGCGCACCCUCAGACGGGCCUGCUGCACUUACCCAACAGAAGAGAUGGGCCACUGGCCUCCUUGAGGUCCUGUUCAGCAAGAACAGCCCACCCAUUGCCACCUUCACUGCAAAGCUUCAAUUUCGCCAAUGCCUCGCAUACAUGUGGAUUAUUUCAUGGGGUUUAAGGCCAAUUCCGGAGCUUUGUUAUCUUGCUUUGCCAGCAUAUUGCAUCAUGGCCGGCUCACAUUUCUUGCCCAA